CCACGAUGUUGUUUGCUUCAUUUCCAACUCUUUCCUCACAGAUUUUGGGCUGGGCACGUGGGUUCCUAGAAUUUCCCAAACCAGUGCUCUGCUGUUUGGCUAUUUCCCAAAGCUCCUACCUGCAAGGUGUGUAUUCAAAUCAUCCACACCGACUAUGAGGAAGAAAACAAAUUUUGCCCCUUUGAAGAGCAGUCUUCACCGACCCACAGGUCCACGAAAAAGCCCCCAACUUGAAUUUGUGGAAGUGCGCAAUUGCCACUGUUGCUGUCGCCUAUUACAUCUUAAUCCUAUGGUAGUGUAUCGGUUGCUGUUGAGUUGAGAAAAUGUUGAGGUGUCUUCAUAGGGUGUAGCAGCGAAGCGGCAGAACUCUACAUUUUUCGGAAGUGCUGAAACCAAGAACAACAAGUGCACAACCAGACAACCAGGAGAGAGAAGCCCUUGAAGCUAAAUACCAGAAGGUUUAUGGAUCACUAUACGAUAAGAGGUGUGAAAUUGUAAAUGGUGUUGUAGAAGUUGAAGGAGUUACAAGUGAAGCCACAUGGACCUUGAGGAUGAUAACUCUACAAAAGGUAACUCACUUCUUUGAAAAUUGCUGAAUUCUUCUUCUCUCUUUUGUUGGGAAACGUUUUUUCACACCAUUGGAUCUCAUCUUCACAAGUGACAAAAACUUCCAUUUCUACUCUCUAUGUCCUGAAAUCUGUUUCUCUACAAGUCAAAUGGUUUUGAAAUUAUUUGAUUUCGGUUAUGAAACUGUUUGAUUUCUAUACAAUCUCUUCUCUUCUCUUCAAUGAUUGAAGUGGGUUUUCAAAUGGUCUCUACCCCAGCUACGGGGAAAAAAUGCAUAUUCCAAAAAAUAGAGAACGAGGUGCCAGGUUAGCAUAUCUUGUCAUACUUAUUGGUUCUAUUUGAUUGACAACAGUUACUUUUCUUAGGGAAAUAGACAAUUAGUUUGUUUUACUUGUGGCUUUUGAUUCCUUUGUACAUUUCUUUGUAGGUUUAAGUUUUGUGUAUGAAAUUUAAUUUUGUUUGUAUUGUAUUUUGUGUGUACAUGGAUUCAGCCUUUUUUUGGCAGUUUUGUAAAAAAUCUUGAAGUUUGUAGUUCUCUAGGGGAGUUUGAAAGUAGGGAUGGCAAGCUUAUUAUCCUGUGAUCUGCUUGAUGGUUUACUAAAUUGGUUUUGACUUUUUGGUAUGGACCUUAGGACAUUGGCAUACCAGGUCUUCACCUUAGUGAACUGUUGUCGUUGGCAUUCACUUUUUGAGAAGGAUUAUUUAUAAAGGUUCCAAGUUAUGGGAUAUUUAUGACCUGGAAAAUUAGCAGAUGAAUUGGUUAGUUCCUACAGUUUAAGAAUAUAGUGGUUUGUUUGGGUCUAGGCUUGACCUUUAACUUUAAGUCAUAUGGAACUGGGGGUAUCUUCUUAAUAGAGCCACCACACUAUCAUUCCAUACUUCGACUGAUUUAGAAAAUUAUGGGCUUAUGAAUACAUAUUAAUUACCAACAAAAUAAAUCUUCACAUGAUGAUGUUUUAAAAUAUUAAAAAUGGGAAAAAGAAAUGUUAUCUGGUGUAUUUCAUUACUUUUUAGUUAUCAACUUUUUGGUUUUUAUUUAUUUUGAGUCUGUUAGUUGGUUUUUACUAAUUCAACAUUUAUGUGGUCUAUUUUGGUUAAGCAAUUUGCAAGAUCUUGUUACUGUUAGCUUUCUUUUGUUCAAUUGUUUUGAUCUUGACCAAUCAAGACUGAUGUUAAUUGUUAAUAAUUAUGAGAUGGUGAUUUAAUUCAGUAUCUGUGACUUAUCAUUUAUGAACCCUUUGAUGGUCAUUGUACUUGAUUCUAUCAUUUUAAGGAUUUAAGCUAUAGGGUUAAUUGCUAUUUGAUAAAUAGGCUUGGGAGAGUAUGAUGAGAUAUGCUACGAGGAUCCAAUUUUAAAGGACUGACAGUGGAGUGUUUACAUUGACCGUUCUCCUGGUGUUGCCAGCUACUCAGAGGUUUUUUUUUUUUUUUCAAUCCUUCAACAGUGUUAUUCUCAUGCUCUUUGGAUUUCACAAGACUGUAAUAUGUUUGUUAGGAGAUAUGAUUUGACCCUUUUUCUUUGUCACAAGAGGCUAAAAGUAUUAGACUGGCAUUUUAUAUGACAAUGUUGUAGGAGGCGCUUUAAAUUUUGUUUAGAAUUGCUGAGUGGUUAAGAAUGCGAAAUGUUCUUUGUUUGAAAGAAUUGUUUAAUGAGGUCAGUUUAUUUGAAAGUAUUAGAGGAACACCAAGAUUGUAGAUUCUUGGAAUGUUAUAAACUUGAAAGAAACAACAGUUCUGCUUCUCUAAAUUGUAGCAGUUAAAUAUAAAUGAGCAUUUUGAUAAAAGCACUUCUAAAUGAUAAACGCAUGUUUCUACCCAGCACUGGAGCUCACUAUAUAACUUGCUUGAUUUUCAGAGCUUCCUCUUUAUAGAAACAGGGCACAACUGUUACAUUUGACAGUUAUAUAAACAUUACUGGUUCACUCUAAGACUUUGAAGAUUGACAUUCCUUUGUGUAUGAAAAUAUCAUCAUCAGAAAUGCAUUAUAACAUGCUAAUUCAGCAAAAGUUGGUGAGCAGAAAAGACUUCAUAAAUAUGCUUCGGCUAAUAUUUUACUUCCAACCAAUUAAUGGUUUGCUUGUGAAAAAUAAUACAGAAAAAGAAAAAUUGCUUCUGUAGGAUAAGAUUAUUUCUAUUUAUUCAAAUAUAAAGAAUAUAUUCAGGUUGAAAAUAUUUAUUUUACUAAUUUGGUCUCUAUUGCUCUUUUUUUUGCAUGCGGGAAUGCUUCCAUGCUUGUGUGACUGGCUGUGGUUACAAGUAUGAGAUUCCAUCAGAGAAAGUUGAUAAAGUUCAUCCAAACAGGCCAACUAAGCCUCCUCUAGAAAAGAAACCACCACCACCACCACCUACUGUUAAAGCUAGCCCGCCUUCUGAAUCCAGUACAAGCACUGAAGAUAUACUCGGUGCUUCUACAUAGCGAGAGAGCAUUUACACACAUCAUGUAUACCAUACAAAUUUUGUUGCAGGCCUUUUUUGUUCUUCUUUUAACUUGGCCAAUGCUAAUGUUUUUACAUUGUCUUGCCCAGUUUCUCAAGCUUCAAGUGCGCUAAAAAAAUUGGCCCUUUUUUCUUGAUGAUACUGCAAUUUACAUUGGAUAUUAAUGUGGUGGUUCCAUUUUUCUGAAAAACUCUUCUCUAAUUUGAUAUAAAUCUUUAUUGCAUCUUGUGUGUG
Non-coding RNA from Camellia sinensis, 3237 nucleotides. NCBI's taxonomy places the organism in Eukaryota, Viridiplantae, Streptophyta, Magnoliopsida, Ericales, Theaceae. The record is from RefSeq and is a predicted model, not a curated record.